RNAcentral lists this long non-coding RNA (41505 nucleotides) under Citrus sinensis (sweet orange). RNAcentral describes it as "long non-coding RNA (CSIN_LNC000962)". The record is from RNAcentral. Lineage: Eukaryota; Viridiplantae; Streptophyta; Magnoliopsida; Sapindales; Rutaceae.
UGAAGUUGGCAUCAGCCUCAAUAAACAAGACUCCUUCAGCAUUGCAUUCCACCAUAAGCUUGCGGUUGUAACCUUCUUUAAGCCUGCCAGCUAAAGGGUAGUAAAACACAAGUGCUUUACUUAUUGCUUCUCUAAUGACCUUAACAGGGUCUCUUCCUUGCAUUGAAGGUGAAGGGUCAUUCUUGUAAAAGAAUAUUACUGGUACACGAAACCUUAGGCUUUCUUGGUCAUCUAUAUCUGAAAGUUGCUUCACUUCUCGUGGUGUUGGCCUCGCCGGAACAAUUAGUUCCGGUGCCUGCCGAGUAACCGACAGAACUUGGGAAAAUUUUGAUACCAUUGGUUAGGGAGUAUGAGUUUCUUGAGGUAGAUAUGUAAUUGGUUGCCUCAACGGUGCAUGCUUCAUCCUUCAUUUAUAGUAGUGAGCAGUAACAGGACGAUAGAACAGAAGACACACGUCAACACGAAAGCCUCUGUCAAAUCACCGUGCUAAAACGAGUAAUUUUAAUUUUUCACGGGUCUAUAUAAUUGGGAAAAUGCUACUUGCCCCGAGUCAAAUCCCGGGUCAAACCCCGAAUUUAAAACGGCUCCGUUUUACUAAGCAAAAGAAUGCACUGUUUGAGCCAAAAUUGUUUUCCCUUUCCUUCGUUGAUUGAGGUCAACUCCAGCCAUUAUUGUCCUGAAAUCAAGUCUUCGCGCAUACCCAACCACCCCACUGCCACCACCGACAGCCACCACCGUUUCAUUUGUACACCGGAGAUAAUCACCCACAACUCUAGUCCCGAUUGUGUUUGUGUUUGUGCAUUUCUGUUUGUGUUUGUUUGAAAUUUGGUCAAAAUUUUUAUACAAUAUCCAUCAACACAAAGCUAAUCAAUCACCACCGAAUGAGGAAAAAAAACAUGAUAUCUUGGUCGAUGUGUGAUCUGUAGAGAUUUUUAAAUUUUUUGGCUCUUUAUCAUUAUCCGUGAAUUUUGUGAUAUGGGUUUGUGGCAGUGAUUGAAGGGUUUUAAUUUCAUAUUAAACAUAUAUGUUUCAUUUUGUAUGUUGAAGCUCAUCUUUUUAAGGGGAUAAGAUCUUUGACCUAGGUAUAAUAUGUAAUUGCUUAAAAGUAGAUGAGUUGUGAAAUCCAUUUGUUACGUCAUAAGAUGAAGAAAUACAGGAAGAUGAGGAUCCUAUACUGGAAGAUGUAAUUGGAGUAGUUUAAGAAUGGAAAAAAGGCAGCAUUCCAAGUGAAGUCUAUAAUGAUGAAAUUAUGGCUGUGGAAGUACUCAAGGAUGAAAAUUCAAAGAUGAGAAAGUAUAUUGCUAGAAUAACAAUUAAGGGACAGCUGGGAAGCAAGGAAACCAAAAAUGAAAAGUGAUAGAGAAACAGCAGAUGAAAGAGACAGGCAAAGGAAAAGGAAAAGAAUUGUUACUGUCGAAACGGCGUCAUUUUACUAAUUUUUCGGGGCUUGACCCGGGGUUUGACCCGGGGUAAAUAGCAGAACUCAUAUAAUUGGGAUCAAAGUAAUAAUUGAUAUUUUAAAAUUUUAAAUGAUAUAUUAUUUAUUAAAUAAUUGAUAAUUUUUUAUAAAAUUUUAGUGAAUUAAUUAUAUCAUUUUACUAACAAAUUAAUAAAUAGGGAGUCCCUAUAUUACAUUUAAUGUAACAUACACAACCCACAAGAACCACACAAAUUAUAGGACCCACAUAAUUAUGUGGUUCUUGUGAAUUGUGUAUGUUACAUUAAAUGUAACAUAGCAAAAUUCUAAUAAAUAUUAUUUUAUUUAAAAUAUAAAAUUUAAAAUACGUACUGCUCCUAUUAAGAUAAGGAUUGGAUAGGCUCCGCGCAACGUGCAUCAUACUCUAUAUUGUGAAAAACAUGUGAUGAAUUGGAGAUCACGUUCCUCGCAAGUUUAACUGAAGUAGACAGAUGACGACAUGAGUGCAAGGGUAGGAUUGAUUGGAUGGAAAAGGGUGGACACAGUGAUUAAUUCUCCAACUAUCAUUUCUCUGAUUGUGCAGGUUACAUUCCCCUUAGCUUGAAUUGUGAAAUCAAGUUCCAGCCGCGUAUGCAAUGAAGAGACCACAAGUGCAAGGGACCAUCAUUAAUCUGGCCAUCUUCUAAUAAACAUGUUUAAAGGAGAAUGCAGACAUCUUCUAAUAAAACAUGUUUUAUUUCCGAGUAAACUAUAAAUGUAAUAAUGAUUAUAAUUAAGCUUUGGGUGUUGUUGCAAAUCGGCAAAUAUACUCUUUCAUGCGAUUGAUAGUUGAUUGGUGCUUUGUUCCUCAAGCAUUUGCCGUCUCAAAGUAAAUCUGGCUGUCAUUUUGCUUUUUGUGAGAAUGCAUAUAAUACAAUGAAACUAAGCAGCAUUUAACAAAUCAACAAAUGGAAAAAGUAAGGUUGGGAUGCAUGUCAAUUUUGUUUUUUUUUUAAUUUUUGUUUAGAGGUAUUACAGCAUUUUGAUAUAUUACAAUUUAAGAUCUAUUGAAAAUAAUUUCUAAUAUAUAUAAUUCUAUCAUCUAUCCAACGUAGUUUAAAAAUUUGCUACCACUGACAACUAGAGAGAAAUCAACCAUAUUCUACAUUUAAUUUUGUAGUAAGAAAAGAGAACCCUAUGACAGCUCGAUCUAAUUUUUAUUAAUGUAUAUAUAUGGGUGCUUUUUUUUGUCAAUCUGAGAGUUUUGGAUUAAAAAUUACAAGGCCACCAUUUGUCUAUGUAUGGUAGGUUUCAUCAUAUGCAGUCCCUAUAUUUUAAGAUUAGUAUCCAUUUAGUUCCUAUAUUUUUUAAAAUGCCUCGAAACAUUCCUGCCGUUAAAGUAUUGAUACAUCUACUGUUACUUUUAAUUUCUUUUGGCUUACUUUUACAAUAUUACCAUUUUAUAAUUUUUUUUUGUUUGGACAUUAAUAAAAAGAAAAUAAUUAAAUUACCAAUUUAACCCUAAAAAAUAAAAAAUUAUAUUAAUUUUUAGGGAUAUUAUCAUUUUCCCACCAAAGGUAUUCUGACACAUCAUGUCAGUACCACGAUUUGGUAAAACUAUCAAUUUACCACCAAACGUUUAAACUGUUAGCAUUUUCCCACCAUUCCGUUAAAACUCCGUUAAUAUGUAACAGAAAAUUCAUAAAAGGUCAAUUUUACCCCUGAAGUGUAAAAGACCAUGUAAUUAACCUUUUAUGAAUUUUGUAAUUAAAUUAUCAUUUGUUGUUCUUCCUUCUUAAAGGACAAAAAUUACCCCUUAUAAAUUUUAUAAAAUUGACCGUGUGGUGUUAAGUACUUUUAUAAAUUGAUUUAAUUUAUUUAAUUUUUAAAGGUCAAAUUUAUUUAUUAAAUUGCCGAGCUAAAGACAAUUUAUUCUACUACUAAACAUCAAUUUAUGAAAGGGAAAAAAAAAAGAAUGUGCAAAAGAAGCAAUUUAAUCUUUGAUAUGAUGAUAAUAAUUUUACACAAAAAAUUAAAUAAAUAAAUUUGCCCUUUAAAAAUUAAAUAAAUUAAAUCAAUUUAUGAAGUACCUAGCACCUCAUGGUCAAUUUUACAAAAUUUUAUAAAGGGUAAUUUUUGUCCUUUAAGAAUGAAGAACAACAAAUGAUGAUUUAAUUACAAAAUUCAUAAAAGGUUAAUUACAUGGUUUUUUUAUACUCCAGGGGUAAAAUUGACCUUUUAGGAAUUUUCCGUUACAUAUUAAAUGAGUUUUAACGGAAUGGUGGGAAAAUGCUAACAGUUUAAACGUUUGGUGGUAAAUUGAUAGUUUUACCAAACCGUGGUACUGACAUGAUGUGUCAGAAUACCUUAGGUGGAAAAAUGAUAAUAUCCCUAAUUUUUAAUUGUCAAAAAUUAAAUUGUUACUUUUUUAUUUCUUGAUGAGGUAUUUGAAAAUUCCAACUUAUUUUUUUUUUUAAGUUAUUCUGCUGUACCGUACAUCCGUGUAUGCAAACUACCAAGUGUGCAAAUGGUGCUUGCAAAAAGCAUUAAACAAUUGUUGAUAAGUAGCAUCCUUAAUGCAUUUAUUACAUGCCUAAAGCAUUGACUAAUAAUAAAAAAUAAUCUUCUCAUAUUAUUGCAUAACAAAAUAAAACUAAAGGAUUAUUUCUUGACUGGAAAUUCAUUGCAAUAAAAAGACUUUGCUUACAGCAGUUACAAAAGAAAAAAAGUUAUGAUGAAUAUAGAAGAAAUUAAAUUCUCUUUUAAAUUAUUGAACGAAAGAGACACUCUUAUUUCUAUCAGAAUAACUUAUUCAAUGUUUACCAUGAACAAGACCAUUAGAUUGAUUUUCGGCAAUGAGUUACUAUCUUACUACAAGAAUUAUCAAAUCAUAUUUUCCUCUUUUCUUUUACACCCAAAAUCUACCUAAAACACAAAUGACAUGUGAUACUCAUUUUCUGAUACUGUAAUCAAAUGGAAAAUUAUCAGCACAAAUCAAUACGAGUGCCUCUAUUACUUUCAAUAAUAAUAAUAAUAAUAAUUUAAAAUUGGGGGAACUAUCGAACCAUAUUAGUAAACGUUAAAAAUGUGUAAUUUCAUCAUCAUGUGUAUGUAUAAUGUAUGUUCAAUGAAUCAAAUUUCCAACACGUAUGCAUUAGAGACCACAAUUUUGUGAAAGUGUACCCACACUUGAUGUGAUGUUCUAGUAUAGAGAUGUCAAAUAGAUGAGGAUUUCAAUGAGCGAUUUUUGUUGCGGAAGUGCCGAUUGAGCAAUUAUCAAUAAUUCAAUAUUAUGGUGAUUGUAACUUUUGGAGAAAUGCAAAUAUAGUGAUAAACAACUGCAAAGAAAAGAGGACACAAUAAUUUUUGUGGUUUGGCUUAAAGCCUGCAUCCGCUAAUAAAGAUUGGAAAAUAAUUUUUCUAAUAAAUGGGAGUUAUAAAAUUGAGAGUUACUCUCAAAACCUAAUAACCUAGUACAUCUAAAUGGUGGAAAUGCUGUAAGAGCUUACUUGCAAAUGCUCUUAACUCUCACAAUUUAGGAUACUUUACUCUCUCCAAAUUAAUCUCUGUUUGUAUGGUGUGUUUACUUACUGUAGUGCGAGUGAGAAGUGUGAAAUCCUCAAACUCUAGUGUUUACAUGCUUAUUUAAGAGUGUGAGUGGAAUCUCACUCUAUGGGUCCUACUUUUAGAGUGAGGAUUGAAACUCUAACUCCCAUGAGGGGAGGUGGGAUUGAGAACCACUCAAUCCUCUUCCUUUUUUAUCAUUCCUUUUUAAAAUAACAUAAUUAUAUUUAUUAAAAUAAAAUAUAAUUAUAUUUAUUAAAAUAAAAUAAUAUUACAUUUAUUUAAAAAUAAUAAUAUAAUAUUCAUAGAGAAUUAAUAAUAUUACUAUACAGUAUCUUUAUUUGAAAAAUAAUAUUAAUAUAUUUAUUUAAUUUGAGAUUUUUGAAACUCCAAUGUUGAGAUUUUUGACAUUUUUAAUUAGAUAAAUAUAAUUUACUUUAUAGCUGGUGAAAUCAGAGAAUAGCCAAAACGAAUUUAUAUCUUUGUAUGCAGCCCUUCAAACUUGAAUAGAUUUUUGCAAUCUACAAGCAUAAGAAAAGUUAGCACAAACGAAACCCUAUUGAACCAAAUGACUGGAAGUAUUUGUGAUGACAAUAGCAGCAUCGAUGAAGCGGAUGCUAAUCUUGGUUUGUAGCAAUGAAGGCGAAAAUCUGAAAUUUUUUAAAAUUCAUUUAACCCAUUUGCAUCCAACUAAAGUUUUGUUUAGAAGAGGCAAUCAAAACUUUUGCAUUACACAAUAGAAAACAGUGGAGUAGAAUUAUAAAUGUAAUCAUGAUUACAAUAAGCUUUGGGUGUAGCUGCAAAUUCUUUAGAGUGCAAUAGCCAACAAAUAUACUCUUUUAUGGGAUUGACAGUUGAUUGGUGCUUCGUUCAGAUGCCGUUAUAAAUUAAAUCUUUCUGUCAUUUUCUUUUUGUGAGAAAUUAAGCAACAUAUAACAAAUCAACAAAUGGAAAAAGUAAGGUUGGGAUGCAUCUCAAUUUUUUUGCUUUUUUUUUUUUUUUGUUUUUUGGAAGUAAUACAACAUGCUAACAUAUUACAAUUUAAGAACUAUUGAGAAUAAUUUGUAAUAUAUGUAAUUCUACCAUCUAUUCAACAUAAAUUGAAAAUCUGCUCCCACAAACAAAUAGAGAGAAAUUUAUCAUAUUCUACAUUUUAUGGUAAGGAAAGAGAACCAACUAAUAGCUCGACCAAAUUUUUAUUACUGUGUGUGUGUGUAUAUCUAUAUAUGCUUUUUCAAUCCGAGAGUUCUGGAUUAACAGUUUUGGAUUAAAAAUUCGAAGGCCACCAUUUGUCUAUGUAUGGUAGCCUCCAUCAUUUGCAGUCAAUAAAGGGGCUUGGGAAUCUAACAGCCCCAAAUCCAAUGAGGUAUUUGAAAAUUCCAACUUAUUUUUUUUUUUAAGUUAUUGCAUACCAAUUGGUGGACAUCAUUUUAUUUUGGAUAUUUUGGAUACUUUUUCAAUCUAACAUUUCUGAAUUGAAAAACUACUCACACACACGCAUGCAUACACACACCCGCCCGCGCACAAACACACAAACACGUACACUGAUCAGAUCUCUAGCAUUAACCAAUUGUUUUUAAGUAGCAUCUUUAUUAGAGGCCUAAAGCAUCGACUGAAUAAAAAAGAAUCUUCUCAUACUAUUGCAUAACAAAAUAAAACUAAAGGAUUAUUUCUUGACUGGACAUUCAUGGCAAGAAAAAGACUUUUCUUUCAUUGGUUAAAAAAAAUUAUGAUGAAUAUAGAAGACAUUAGAUUCUCGUUUAAAUUAUUGAACGAAAGAGAUAUUCUUAUUAAAAGAGAUUAUUAUUUCUACCGAAGGAAUUUAUGGAAUGUUUACUAUGAACAAGACCUUUAGCUUGAUAUUCGGUAAUGGGUUACUAUCUUACUACAAGAAUUAUUAAAUUAUAACAUUUUAUUAUAUUAACUAUAAAAAGAUAACAAUUUGCUAUUUUUUCGUUACCAUUAUUAGUCAAAAGAUAAUAUCACGAUUGACUUCACAAAAGUCAAAUUUACUUCUGCAUCAAAACUAACCCAAUAAUUAAAAUAUUUACCAAAAUCAAAACCAAUAUUUACCAAUGACAGAAAAUUCAAACUUACAACUUGCUUACAUCCACACCUUGCAAGAAUUCAACCACUUUCAUAGAUGCUACUCUAUAUUCCUUUUUUAUUUUUUUAUUUUUUCAACUACUUAUAAUUUUAUUUAUGAUGUGUACAAUUUUAGCAUAAUUGUAGUUUGGCACCAAAAAAUAGAAUAAUAAUAAAGCAAUCCUUUGACACAAACAAUAAGUUUUUUUUUUUCAAUUUUUAGGAAAAUCAAGUAGCCAAACUGACAAUGAAGAAAUAUAGACAACGGAUUAACGGCUAUAAUUUAAUUACACAUAUUUAUCAUUUUUUAAGAGAAUUGAGAUUUACUAUAUUUCAUGAUAAUUUAUGAUAAAUAUGCAUGCCACAUUCGCAUAAUUAAAUUAUAACCGUUGAUCCAUUAUCUAUUUAUCCUUAUUAUAGGCUUGACUACUUGGACGAGUAUAUUUCCCAUAUUAAUUCUUAAGGCUGAAGCAAAAACUUGCCUCACUCAACUAGUUGCUUUUGAUUACAAAUGGGGGUGGGUUAAAAAAUCGUUGCUCCAAAAAAAAUCAAACCGAAUUGAUAGUUUAUUGCAAUGAGUUAAAAAAAAAAUAGUUUAUAUAAAAAUAAAAAAUCACAAAAUACAAAGAAAUUUACGAGUUAAAACCAGAAAAGGAUUAACCGAAUUGAUUCUCAAUUCGGAUUAGAAAUUUAUAGAGGAAACAAGGAAUCGGACGUUUUCGAAAUCCAUAUAAGAAUUUGCAAUAAAUGAUAUUUUUUCUUUUUUAAAUUAUAGCAUACUUGUAUGUGGCUCACUUUAGCAAUCUUUAGUUGUUUUCAGUUUAUUAAUAUGAAUUAUAUUUAUUUUGUAGAAAUAAAGAAUAUGGAAAAAGCCACUAUAGUUGAAGAUCUAGAGUUGCGGAAAAUUUAGAAAAUUGGGCAACACGAGAAAGAGAGUGAGGGAGCGAGACAAGAGAUAGAUUGAGAGUGUUGUAUUUUGAGAACAACAGUGAGUUUUUAUAUUGAGCACAAAACACAGUAUUUGGUGCUCAGUGUUGUUCUCACUUUGUAAAAAGUGAGAAUAUCAUUUUCUUAAUAAUAAAUCAAUCAGUAAUAACUUUAUUUUAAAAAUUAUUUUUAAGAAAAUUAAGGUAGCCAAGCUAACAGCGAAAAUAAGUAGACAACGAAUUAACAACUGUAGUUUAAUUAUUCAUAUUUAUCAUGAUUUAAAAUAAUUAAACUUUUACCACAUUUCAUAAUAAUUUAUGACAGAUAUGUAUAUUGUAUUUGCAUAAUUAAACUACAGUCAUUAAUCUUUAUCUAUCUAUCUUUACUGUAAACUUGACUACUAGAAUGAGUAUAUUUAUCAUAUUAAUCCUUAGCCGAAGCAAAAUUUUGCCUCACUCAACUACUUGCUUUUGAUUACACUUAGGGGUGGGUAAAGAAAUUGUUGCUCCCAUAAAAACCGACCGAAUUGACGGCUUAGUUCGACUCAGUUCAGUUUAAAAAAUUAAAGAAAUCAGUUUAUAUAAAAAAAAAUUUAAAAAUAUAAAAUACAAAGAAAUUUACGAUUUAAAACCGGAAAAACUCAACCGAAUUGACAGCCGGUUUGGAUUAUGUUUUAUAAAAGCUGAUCAGUUUCAGUUCGAUCAAGAAUCGAAUCGACCCAGGAAAAGUUCUUUUCUGAAUGGAAGAUUUAGUAAACAUCUGCAAAAGAUAAAUGGUGGUCCCAAAAUACCUGCAAAAAACUGCUUUUGCGUGUAUAUACAUCAUAAGGAUGCUAAAACACAAGUGCUUUACUUACUGCUUUUUAAAUUACCUUUGCAGGAUCUCUUCCUUGCAUCGAAGGUGAAGGGUCAUUCUUGUGAAAGAAUAUUAUUGGUAUCUGAACCUUCGCCUUUCUAAGUCAUCAAUAUCAGAAGGUUGCUUCGCUGCCCUUGGUGUUGGCCUCGCCGGAGCAAUUAGGCCCCGCCGCCUUCCAGGUAACCGAUAGAACUUGAGAAAAUUUGGAUGCCAUUUAGGGACUGAGUUACUUGGAUGACCCCUCUUUUUUUUUUUAAUUUAAUUCACGCGUCGUCGAAUUUGGAUCGGGGUCUUAAAAGACUGUUAUUUAUUAUUGGAACGAGGCCUUAUUUCACUUUAAAUAAAAAUAAUAAUAAUUUUAAUUAUAAUUAAAAAUCAUGCAUUGCAGCAGACCACGAGGGUAAUGUGGGGAUAAUUUGUCUGCCAUUUUUUUUUUUCUUUUGUCAUUGUCCCUACUUUCAAACCGCAGAACGAGUUAUGACAAAUUGACUCACCAAAAAAAUCUCCAUCUGCCUUGCAAUUUGGACGGCUCAAAUUAAACAUAGUACAAUAGUGCUUGUAACCAACCCCACCUUUGCUGUUGCCUGUUGCCAUCAUUUAUGGCGAUAAAGAAGACAUCUUCGUAAAAAAAAAAAAGAAGGGAUAUUAUAUUUUCUCACUAAAAAUAUUCUGACACAUCAUAUUAGUAUUAUAAUUUUAUAAAAUUAUUAAUUUAUCAUCAAAUAUUUAAAUUAUUAAUAUUUUUUCACCAUUUCGUUAAAACUUAGUUAAUAUGUAAUAGAAAAUUUAUAAAAAGUCAAUUUUACCCAUGGAGCGUAAAAGACCAUGUAAUUAACCUUUUAUGAAUUUUGUAAUUAAAUCAUCAUUUGUUGUUCUUCCUUCUUAAAGCGAAAAAAAUUACCUUUUAUGAAUUUUAUAAAAUUGACCUUUUAAAAGACCAUAUAAUUAACCUUUUGUGAAUUUUAUAAUUAAAUCAUCAUUUGCUGUUCUUCCUUCUUGAAGGGCAAAAUCGUCUUUUACGCUCUAGGGGUAAAAUUAACCUUUUAUAAAUUUUUCGUUACAUAUUAACUGAGUUUUAACAGAAUGGUGGGAAAAUGCUAGGUGGCUCUAAUUAAACAUAGUACAAUAGGGUACGGAUUCGGUGCUGAUAUAAGUAAGUUCUGAGCACUAGAUUAAUGAUCAGCAAUUAUUUUAUGUGGGUCCUAAAUAAUUACGGGCCAUUGAUCCGGUGUUUAUGACUUGCACGUAUCAGCACCUGAUUCUGAUCCAGUACAAUAAUGCUUGUGACCAGCCCCACGGAUUCUGGUCCAGUACAAUAAUGAUUCUGGUCCAGUACAAUAAUGCUUGUGACCAGUACAAGUGCGCGAUCUCACACUUUUGUUGAAGUAUCCGAUGCUCACAACAAUGAGUGAUGGACCAUUGGGGUUGUAGUUUGUACAUGUCUUGUUUUGCAUGUUAUUGCUCAAAAAAGUUAAAUAGCCAGCUCUUAUUUUUUUAAAAAUUAAUUUGGUGAAUUCUUCAUUACCAAAUUAACUAAUUAAUCUUUUAAAGGUUUUGAAGAAGCCGGGGAAGAAGAAAGAGGUUAUAAAAUGUGCAGAGAAAGAACUCAAAUGAGUCUCACUUUAAAACUCCGUUAGUUUUCGAAUUGUAAUUGGCCACUAAAUGUUGUGUUUUGGCAUUUAAAAAGGAAAAUUAAAAGUAAAUUAAAUUUUAGCUCUUAAGUAUACUUAAAUUACCUCUAAAAAAAUCCCAGAAAAAAUCAGAUUAUAAGAGAGUUUGAAUGCAUGUAUCACGUGGAUGGGACUGCAUUCCGAGGACCCAUUAUUAUACGUUUCCCCGAGCAUCUAACCUGUAGAUAAGCCACAUCGAGACAGAAGUGGCCCUUCAUCAAUUUUGAGAAACACGUGGGCUUUCAUAAUUAAAAAAUACAUGAUUGCGAUGCAUUCCAUUUGUUUUGCAAUUUGGGUGGCUCUAAUUAAACAUAGUACAAUAGGGUACGGAUCCGCUGCUGAUAUGGGUAAAUUUUGAGCACUGAAUUAAUGGUCAGUAAUUAUUUUAUGUGAGAUCUAAAUAAUUACGGGCCAUUGAUCCGGUGCUCAUGAUUUGCUCGUAUCAGCACCGGAUUCUGGUCCAGUACAAUAAUGCUUGUGACCAGCCCCACGUGUAAACAUUUAUGGCGCAAAUAAAAGAAGACCAUUAUCGUGAAAAAAAAUGUCAUAUUCGGAGUAGAAUAUAAAUGUAAUUUAGUUCACAAAUGAACAAAUGAACAAAUGAAAAACGUAAGGUUGGAUGCUUGUCAGUUUUUUAAUUAAUUAUUUUAAUAUAUUGAUAUGUUUACAAUUUGAGAUCUAUAGAGAAUAAUUUGUGACAGAAUUUAGAGGUUUGAUAACAUAGCCUAGAAAUAUGUUUUCACUAGUAAUUGGAAAAAGAUCUAUAUUGCCCCAUAUUGUUGUAAUAAAGGAAAAGAAUUUUAGCCUGGUGGGCUGCUGCCCUCACAAGCAUUGUGAGGGCAGCGGUUCUAGCCCCCACAAAAGUAUUGUGGGGGCUAAAUGUUCUUUAUAUUUAAAAAUUAUUUUUUCUUGCGAAAUACAAGUGGAGUAUGGACAUCCCUCUCCUGUGAGGGGCUAUUUGUCUGGGCAUGUACUUAAUAGAAUUCAAUGUAAUAAUGUAAGUCCCAAUCAUGUAUAUCUGAUUGUAAAUAUCAGUGUAAUAUCUCUGCUACAAUAGCAGUUGUUGUAAAUAUCUGUUAAUGCAGUAAUCUGAUGAUUAAUCAGUAUUAAAAAAAAAGGAAAAGAAUUUUAUGAUGGCUCGAACUGAUUUUCAUAUUUAAUAUAUAUCGUCCUUUACUAUUAGAGCAUUUUUACUUUAUCUUCACUUCAGAUUCAUAUUAAAAUUUAAAAAAUAAAUUUUAAUACAUUAAAAAUUAUUUUUUUGUUUGUUAAUAUCUAUAUUUUUUAUAUAUUGGUGGCAUCCUCAUUUUAAUAUUUUCACUAGAGAAUUAUUAUGAGUACUGAUCUGAUCCAAAAUACAAAAAAUCUAUUAAGUUAUAUAGUUUAAUAUUAUAAUGUCAUUUACACUAUUAAACCAUAACUUUUUCAGAUUUUAACAAAGUUCAAAUCUUAGAUUAAAUCUNNNNNNNNNNNNNNNNNNNNNNNNNNNNNNNNNNNNNNNNNNNNNNNNNNNNNNNNNNNNNNNNNNNNNNNNNNNNNNNNNNNNNNNNNNNAGAUUUAAUCUAAGAUUUGAACUUUGUUAAAAUCUGAAAAAGUUAUGGUUUAAUAGUGUAAAUGACAUUAUAAUAUUAAACUAUAUAACUUAAUAGAUUUUUUGUAUUUUGGAUCAGAUCAGUACUCAUAAUAAUUCUCUAGUGAAAACAUCCUCAUUUUAAUAAAAUGAGGAUGCCACCAAUAGAUAACUUCAGAUUCAUAUUAAAAUUUAAAAAAUAAAUUUUAAUAUAUUAAAAUUUAUUUUUUUGUUUGUUAAUAUCUAUAUUUUUUAUCUAUUGGUGGCAUCCUCAUUUUAAUAUUUUCACUAGAGAAUUAUUAUGAGUACUGAUCUGAUCCAAAAUACAAAAAAUCUAUUAAGUUAUAUAGUUUAAUAUUAUAAUGUCAUUUACACUAUUAAACCAUAACUUUUUCAGAUUUUAACAAAGUUCAAAUCUUAGAUUAAAUCUCUCUGUGUGUGUGUAUUUUGACAAAGUCUUUUAGUUUCAAGAUUGUAUCCGAUUUCACACUUUUGUUAAAAGUAUUCAGUCUUUUAGUUUCAGCUUUUGAACAUACAACUGGAAACACCGACGCGUUACCACAAUACUCAGAAGGCAAGUUCAUGUUAUAAUGUUUUCCUCACGAGGUAACUAGACAUGAAAAUAGAACAGUGUCUUUAGGAUUUAGUCGAAGUGCAAUAGUUCUACAUCUCCAUAUAAAAGCAGUUAACAAGUCAAAUGUGGAACAGUUAAAGUGCAAUGGAGGUUGAUUUUUUAGCGCUUCUAUCUCAUUGGACCAAAGUACAAUGAAUUGUGGUCAGUAGCGGCUCGACCUCCAUGCAACUUAGACCGAUAAAAUCCAGAUUUUGAAAUUUCAGAUUUUAUCUUUUUAUUAUUCUCUUAAUUUGUUGUUUUAUUUAUUUGUUCUUAUUUCUUUUUAAUAUAUUCUUUUAUUAAUUUACUAUAUAUAUUUUGUGUGUGUCUUUUUAAUAUAUUCUUUUAUUAAUCUACUAUAUAUAUUUUGUGUGUGUUAUUUUAUCUAUUUUGAAAUAAAACUAUAUCGAAAAACUUUAGAAAAUAGAAGAAUAGAAAAAUAAGUUUAAUCUAGAAAAGGAGUAGUAAAAAAGUUGUAAUUUAAGUUAAAAAACAAUAAGUAAUAGAUGAAUGGUAGAGAAUAAUUAAGUAGGUUUUGCAAAGGAAACAUAUUUAUAACGUGGAUGUUUUAGAUAAAUUUUUAAAAUGUAAGAAUUACUUGUACAAUUAACUCAAACUCUAGGAACUAAAUAGACAUUUAUGUUUAGUUAAAAGAAUUUAGAAACUAUAUAAUCUGAGAAUGCAUGCGAAAGUAAAGUCACUUGCUUACAAGUAAUAGAUAAACUCACUUGAAUUAAGAGCAAUGGGCAACCAAGAAUGCCUUGGGAACCUGGAACAUUACAGAGCAAUUGUUCCAAAUACGGGCAUGGUGGCUGAACAGCAUCGCCAAGCCGCUCAAGUUUGAAGUUAGCUUCAGCCUCAAGCAACAAGAUCCCUUCACCAUUGCAAUCCACCAUAAGCUUGCGGUUGGGGCCUUUUACAAGCGUACAUGAAAAAGGAUAAUAAUAUACAAGUGCUUUACUUAAAGCUUCCUUGAUGACCUCCACGGGAUCUUUUCUUUUUGGACAGUAGGUGAUGAUGAAGGGUUGUUCUUGUAAAAUAAUAUUCCUGGAACCUGAAACCUUAGACUUUCUUGAUCAUCCAUAUCCGAAAGUUGCUUUAAUUCACGCGGCGUUGGCCUUGCCGGAACUAAUUCCAGUGCUUGCCGGGUUACCGACAAAAUUUGAGAAAAUUUAAUUUGAAGCCAUUUUAAUCUGUGUUAUUUGCUUGAGGACUUAGUUUUUUUUUUUUUUUGUUUGGUGAGGCUUGAACUAUUUCGUUAGUUGCCUUGGCCUCCAUUGUUUCUUAUUUAUGGUCAUUGUUAGACAAGAAAGAAGCAAGAGUAUUCCACGGGUGAAAACUGAGACCAAGUAAAUUAUUUUGGUCGAUCCAGACAGAACAAAUGAGGACAAAUGUCAUGUGAUGCUCAUUUUCUUAUAGUGCAAUCAAAUGGAAAAUUAAGAGCGCAAGUUAAUACGAGUGCCUCUAUCACUUUCAAUAAAUAUAAAAUUUAAUAAUUUAAAAUUUCUAAUCAUAUUACUAAACGUUGAAAAUGUGUAAAUUGACCAUUAUGUUGUAUAUACAAUGUAUGUUCAUGAAUCCAUUCCUAUCCAAAAAUAAGAAGAAUCCGAUUGUAAUAAAAUUAAUUUCCAACCGCCUAUGCAUUAGAGACCACGAUUCAGUGAAAGUGUACCCACUCUUGAUGUGAUGCUCAAUAUGGAAAUGUAAAAUAGAUGAGGAUUUUAAUGUGUGGUUUUUGCAAUCUCUCUUUCUCUUUCUCUCUUUUUUCCCUAAAUAUUACUACAGCUUAGUAAUCUAUGUUAGGAAAUUGAUGGGUGAAGUAGACACGCAGCUAAAGUGAAAUUGGAAGAAAAUAAAGAAUAAGCACAAAAAAAGAGGACACCAGAAAAUUACGUGGUUAAGCUUUUAGCCUACGUCCACGGGCGAAGACAGAAGGAAAAUAUUUCACUAGUGAAAUAAGGAUUACAAGUAUUGUAAUAUUUUGGCUCAUUACCCAAAACUCCAAUACACCCAAUCUCUCACUCACUAGACUCUCAAGACCUUUAUAAUUUUAAGCUCUUAAAAUCUCUCAAGCUCUUUCCUUGUUAUUUUCUCACAAAUUGAAUGCACACAUCGAAAUGAGAGCUCUCCCCUUUAAUAGCCAAAAUUGGCUAUUAAAAUAAUAAUUAAUUUUUUUUUUCUUGUCAAAAUCGUGUUCCCCUUUUUCUUCUUCAAACUUCUUCUUUUUCCAUUUUCUUCAUUCCAAAUUUGCUGCUGCCAAAUUCUUCAUCUUCUUCUUUGAACAAAAUUGUUGCUGACCAUCUAGAUGGCUGCUUUAUACUAUCUAGAUGGCCACUUUAUUUGACAUUUCUCCCACUUGGAGAUUUAAUUGAGAAUCAAUUAAUUUCCACACCAUCCUUUCUGCUUCGCCAUAAUCAUGUUGUCUACGUUUCUGCUAGACCACAAGAGGAUCUACUCCAGAUAAACUUGUCAGCAUUUAUCGGCUUGGUCAAAACAUCUGUUGGGUUCUCCUUCGUAUGGAUUUUCUGUAAAUCCACACUUCUGUCUUCCACUACUUCUCAAACGAAGUGAUACUGAACUCCUAUGUACUUUGUCCUUGAAUGAAAUCUCCUAUGUGCUUUGUCCUGGAAUGAAAUGAUGGAUUCCUUGUAAUGUGCAAGGCACUCUGACUGUCACAAAAUACAUGAAUUUUCUGCUGUUUGUGCCCGAGCUCCUCCAAUAAUCUUUGUAUCCAAAUAGCUUCCUUGCAAGCUUGUGUAGCUGCCAUGUACUCUGCUUCUGUUGUAGAUAAAGCCACAACGGUCUGCAGUUUCGAAACCCAACUUACAGCUGCUCCCACAAGUGUAAACACAUAGCCAGUAGUGGUUUCCUUUUAUCAAGAUCUCCUGUAAAAUCUGAAUCCACAUAGCCCCUGACAGUAAACUCUGAUCCUCCAUAACAUAAUACAACAUCUGAGGUUCCUCUGAUGUAUCUCAGAAUCCUCUUCACAGCUAUCCAAUGCUCUCCACCAGGAUUCGCCAUGUAUUCGCCAUGUAUGUAUGGUCUUGUACAUAUCAUAGCGAACAUCAAACUUCCCACUGCUGAUGCAUACGGUACUCGAAACAUCUCCUUCCUCUCUGCUUCAUUGCUAGGACACAUACUUGAGGAUAAUUUGAAAUUAACAGGAAGUGGGGUAGAGAUUGACUUACAAUCUUGCAUGUUGAAGCGCUGCAAGAUUUUCUUCAAGUAAUUCUUCCGUGAAAGCCAAAUCUUCAUGUUAUUUCUAUCUCAGUGAAUUUGCAUCCCUAGAAUCUUAUUUGCUGGUCCCAAGUCCUUCAUUCCAAACUCCCUAGCCAACUGUGCCUUCAAUUCUUGGCCGCCUUGGCCGUACAGCAGAUUCCAAACUCCCUAGCCAACUGUGCCUUCAAUUCUUGGAUUCGAUCUUUAUUGGGGCCUGCUACCAACAUAUCUUUACUCCAUCAGCAUAUCCCAAGAAGAUACAUCUUCUAGAUUUUGCAUCCAGUUUUGUUCUUUCUUGAGCAUUGUACAUCACGUACACAAGACAUCCAAAUGCAUGUAGGUAGGAAUAAUCAGCUGGCUUUCCAGUCCACAUCUCCAUCGCUGUCUUCAGCCCAAUUACUGUAGAUGGUGAUUGAUUUACAAUAUAACAGGCAGUUUUGGUUGCUUCUGCCCAAAAUGAAUUGGGUAGACCAGCAAUCCUCAACAUAGCUCUUAUCCGUUCCGUAAGAGUUCUAUUCAUCCGCUCUGCCACUCCAUUUUGUUGAGGAGUGUAUGCCACCGUGAACUGUCUCAAGUCUAGAAUGCAUUUACUUCUAGCAAUAGAUCUACUAAAUUUUAAUCUAUGCUGCUUACUUGUAACACAAUGCUCACAAAAUGGUAAACUUACCGAUUUGAGCCCCGGAAGUAAUUUUCGCUCAGAGAGAAUUUUCAAACCUUGUUCUGACAUGUGACCAAGUUUGAAAUGCCACAUCAUCGUUGAUUCUUCUCCAUUUGAUGCGACACACACAUCAGCCUUCUGUAGUGUUUCUCUUUUAAGCAUGAAUAAAUUAGCACCGAUCUUUUCUGCCUUCAUCAAUACAAGCGCGCCUUUAACGAUCUUCAUAAUUCCAUUCUCCACAUGAGUUUUGUACCCAUGACUAUCCAUUUGUCCCAAAGACAAAAUAUUUUUUUUCAGGCCGUUGACAUGUCGUACCUCCCCAAUUGUGCGAAUUGUACCAUCAAACAUUUUUAUUUUGAUAAUACCAAUACCAGCGAUCUCCAAGGCAUGAUCAUUACCCAUAUAUACAGAUCCUCCUGAGAUAGGUUCAUAUGUGUGGAACCAUUCUCUCUGAGAGGUCAUGUGCCAAGUAGCUCCUGAGUCUAUAAGCCAGACAUCAGAUAGUCGUUUUCUGCCUUUUGAAAUAGUUAUUGCCUUGCUGUAGAGAAUUUCGCCAUCAUCCGAGGUACUUGCUACACACCUUUGAGCAUUUGAUGACUCAGGUUCUUUGCCCUCUCUUCUCUUCUGGUUACCCCAACACUCUUUCUUGACGUGCCAUUUCUUGCCACAGUUGUAGCAUUUAACAUUCUUCUUACUUCUAGAUUUUGAUCUACCAUGAUUUUGACUCUCACUAGGGCCACGUUCCGUUGAUCUCCCUCUCGUCACCAAUAGCGCCUCCGCUUGCUGCGAACUUGCUUGUCUGUUUUCCUUAUUUUUUCGCCUGCUCUCCUCAUUUAAUACGGAGGCUGCAACAUCGUCGAAAACUAGACUGUCUGCUGGAUUGUUGUUCGUCAGGUUGAUGAUGAGUUGAUCAUACGAAUCUGGUAGACUUUGAAGUAGAAGCUAUAUUAUAACCCAACGUUGUGAGUUAUGAAAAUAGAGUUUUCAAGGUGUUAAUGUGGUCAGUCACCAUUGUACAUUCCGCCAUUCGAAGAGUAUAGAGUUUCCUCUUUAAGAAGAUUUUGUAGUGACUUGGCUUGUACAAUUUUGUGAGAGUAUCCCAUAUUUUCUUUGCUGUAUUUUUCUCUGCCACACUGGAUAAUACUCCGUCUGCUAGUGCCAAGUGUAGAUCAGAAAUGGCGUUGCCAUCUAUCUCGUUCCACUUGUCAUUAGUUAUCUCCAUGGGCCUUUCUCCAAUUGCUGCCAAGCAAUUAUUUUUCCUCAAUACAGCUUUCAUCUUCAUUUUCCACAACGAAAAAUUAUUUCCGUUAAAUUUCUCAAUUUCAUACUUUGCCGCCAUUUUGUUGAUAAAUACCGCACACAAGCUAGUGUACCACCUUGAAUAAUUGUGAGUAUGUGUGAGAAUGCACACCAGGAAAGUUCCUAGGAAAGACUGGAGGGGUCACAAUGGUCCCACUUAAAACCCAGACUCCUUAAGCUCUUAUCGCCUUUGUGACAGAACUUUCCUAGACAUGUACAAAACCACACAGUUGUUUUACUCACACCAUUAUUCCCUGCUUUGCACCGCAAAAUUCUUGGAUCGCUCCCACCGUUUCACGUGAAUAGUACUGUAUACGUGAACAGUACCGUAUAUGUGAAUAGUACCCGACUCCAAAAAUACAACCAAUAUCUCUGAUACCACUGUUAGGAAAUUGAUGGGUGAAGCAGACACGCAGCUAAAGUGAAAUUGGAAGAAAAUAAAGAAUAAGCACAAAAAAAGAGGACACAAGAAAAUUACGUGGUUUGGCUUUUAGCCUACAUCCACGGGCGAAGACAGAAGGAAAAUAUUUCACUAGUGAAAUAAUGAUUACAAGUAUUGUAAUAUUUUGGCUCACUACCCAAAACCCCAAUACACCCAAUCUCUCACUAGACUCUCAAGACCUUUAUAAUUUUAAGCUCUUAAAAUCUCUCAAGCUCUUUCCUUGUUAUUCUCUCACAAAUUGAAUGCACACAUCGAAAUGGGAGCUCUCCCCUUUUAUAGCCAAAAUUGGUUAUUAAAAUAAUAAUUAAUUUUUUUUUCUUGUCAAAAUCGUGUUCCCAUUUUCUUCUUCAAACUUCUUCUUUUUCCAUUUUCUUCAUUCCAAAUUUGCUGCUGUCAAAUUCUUCUUUUUCUUCUUUGAACAAAAUUGUUGCUGACCAUCUAGAUGGCUGCUUUAUACCAUCUAGAUGGCCACUUUAUUUGACAAUCUAAAGGGUUUAUUUCCUAAAUAAAAUAUUAAAAAAAAUCGAAAGAGUUAUUAUUGCAAAACAAAAUAAAACUAAAGGAUUAUUUCUUCACUACAAAUUCACGGCAUGAUAAGUACUUUUAUUUUCACUUCUCACUGGUUUCCACCUAAACCUAUGAACAAUAGCUUAAUGGUGGACUAAUCAGUUCGAGCUUCCAAGGGAAUUAUUUAUUUGCUUUCCAUAGAGUGUAGAAUAGAUAUGGACAUAUCUCCCCAAUAUUAGCUAGAGAAAGUAGAAUUUUAAGCUAUUCUCGAUUGAAUUUCCAAGUUGCACUUUAAAUAUAUUAUUCGAUCGGCAACUAUCUGCUAGCACAAAAUAAAAAUUUGAAAUAAUUAGUGAACGGGUUCAGAUAGAUUAAUCCUCAUCUUUAAAAAGUUAAAAAAUAAGUCUGCAAAUGAUAUAAACCAGUAGCGGGUUGCUGCCUAAUAUUAUUGAAGUUAAAAUAACUCAUUCGGUGGUGCAAGUAUACUCGAAAGGACUUCCAUUUAUUUAGGGGAACAAGCCCAAUUAGCCGAGUGUUGCAAGAAUUUUUGGAAGGAGAAUUUGCCUCCUAAUUUACAGUACACCACCUUAUCACAACAUAUUCAAUAGCGUCCUAAUUUUACAAGACACGUACUCGUCAUCAUGUUCAAUACAUAGUAAAGUCUUGGGUACUCUAAGCUCAUUAUCCUUUUGUAUUUUUCUUCAAAUUUGAUCCGUAUUUUUAAUUUGGAAUGCUAACAUAGGUGAUGAUCAAGUGUUUGAAAAUCACCAUUCCAACUAACGAAGUACUCUCGUAGCAAAGCAUAAAGAUGAGCAAAGUUCAAAUUAUUGUUAUUAUUAUUUUUAACUAAGAUUUAAAUUUGGGAUGGCCAAUCAAAGAAGAAAUGGAUUGACAACCACUCCGCCAAGCCGUAGGUGCAGACUAUAAUUGUUUUCGAAAUUAAUCAAGUAGGAAACAAAUGUUUAUAUCGAUGGACACUUUCUGUCCACAUAUAUAAAUCAUCUUACCCCUAACCGACCAAGAAUAUUUUUGCUGAAGUUGAAUAAAAAGAUUAUGUAUAACGUGCCAUUGGUCUUGAUUUGUCUAUAUCGUCCAAUAUUACUGAAUGGCAGGAAAUUUUCAUAUUUCGGUAACAGUCAGUUUCCAUACACGCUACACACGUGCUGCUGCAUAAUUCGGUAACAGUCAGUUUCGAUACGCGCUACACACGUGCUUCUUUCUUCAGCUAUAAAUGAAAAUAUUUGGAGGCCAAGGCAACCAGUGAAACAGUUCAAGCCUUACCAGAACAACUAAACUAGUAACUAACAUUGAAAAUUUAAAAUGGCUCCAAAAUUUUCUCAAGUUUUGUCAGUAACCCGGCAGGCACCGGAAUUAAUUGUUCCGGCAAGGCCAACACCGCGUGAAUUAAAGCAACUUUCCGAUAUAGAUGACCAAGAAAGUUUCAGGUUUCAUAUUCCAGUAAUAUUCCUUUACAAGAAUAAGUCUGCAUCAUCACCUCCAGUACUCAAAGAAAAAGAUCCCGUGAAUGUCAUCAAGGAAGCUAUAAGUGAAGCACUUGUGUAUUAUUACCCUUUUGCUGGUAGGCUUAUAGAAGGUCCCAACCGCGCAAGCUUAUGGUGGAUUGCAAUGGUGAAGGGAUCUUGUUUCUCGAGGCUGAAGCUAACUUCAAACUUGAGCAGCUUGGCGGUGCUAUUCAGUCUCCAUGCCCGUAUUUGGAACAAUUGACCUACAAUGUUCCAGGUUCUGAAGGCAUUCUUGGUUGCCCAUUGCUCUUAAUUCAAGUGAGUCUAUCAUAACUAACCAUUGAAUUUACUUCAUAUGCAUACUCAAAAUAAAUACUUUCGAUGUUUUCUAAUUAAUGAGAAGAUACAUUCAAGUCUCUAAAUGUGUCACUUUUUCCAGUUAGCCGGGUUCAUAUAUAUAUUUUUCAAUUACCUAUUACAUCAUAACAUUAUAAUAUAGAAAACACAUUUUUUUGGGCUUUUGAAGUCGAGUGUACUAAUCGAACAUUUCUUUUAGUAGUCUUUUUUUUGGGGGGGGGUGGGGGAUACACUAAAUUAUCUUAUUGAGUUCCAGGAAAAUUGGCUCGUUAUACAAUUCCAAAACUUACGUAGACAAGUAAUAAUUUUUGAAGGUUUUAAAUAUUUAAUUUGAAACUUUCGAUAAAAGUUUAGUUGACCACUAAUAAUUUUCUACAAAUUACACUGUCGAAUAAAGUGAGAAAUUAAAAAAAUGGUCCUAAAUGAUAAAAUAUGUAAACAUAUUGGGGACCAAAAUGUCAUUCUUAGUUUCUCGCUUCUAUAUAUUACCUAAUUUUACUUCAAGUAUUUUAAUAUUUUCUUUGUUUCUCAUAUAUAUAUAUAUAUAUAUAGGUGACUCGUUUGAUGUGUGGAGGAUUCACUCUUGCGAUACGUUUCAACCACACAAUGUGUGAUGCAUCUGGUUUGGUGCAAUUUGUGAAAACGAUAGAGGAGAUGGCAAGAGGUGCAAAUACACUUUCGAUAUUCCCUGUUUGGCAAUGGGAACGCUUAUGUGCUAGAAAUCCACCACAAGUAACAAGUGUUCACUUAGAAUACGAAGAAAUAAAUAACAAUUCAGAUACCUUCAUAACUACCAAUCCAAAUGAAAUGGACCACAAAUCAUUCUACUUUGGUCCCAAAGAAGUGAGAGUCCUCAAAAAUCAACUUCCAUUACACCUUAGAAAUUGUUCAACAUUUGAGUUGUUGGCUGCUUGUAUGUGGAGAUGUAGAACAAUUGCUCUUCAACUAGACCCUAAAGACACUGUUCAAUUUUCAUGUCUAGUUACCGCUCGAGCAAAAGAUUAUAAAAUGGAUAUCCCUUCCGGGUAUUAUGGUAACGCAGUGGCAUUCCCAGCUGUGCAUUCAAAAGUUGGUGCUUUAUGCAACAAUCCAUUAGGGUAUGCUGUUGCAUUGGUGAAAAAAGCAAAGGCUGAAAUGAGUGAAGAGCAUAUAAGAUCUGCGGCGGAUCUUAUGGAGGUCAAAGGGCGACGGCCGAGGCACGCGAUUAAGGGGAACUACAUUGUGUCCGAUUUAAGCAAGGUUGGAUUUGAUAGAAUUGAUUUGGGGUGGGGGAAACCAGUUUUCGCUGGGAUUGCUGGUGCUAAGUCUAUUUUUAGUUUCUUAAACAGGUACCAAAAAGAAGAUGGGGAGACUGGGACUCUCAUACCUAUACGUUUGCCGGGGCCGAGUAUGAAGAGAUUUGAAGAAGAGCUAAAGAGAAUGAUUCAAGGAUCAACAGAAGAUUUAUUUGACAUCACGGAGACUCGUAAGAUUGCUUGCAAGCUUUAGUAGAUUUACCAAUUAUGUCACCUAGAAAAAUAACAAAAGUUUCUGUUAUGUACGUUAGAAAUCCAAUGAAUUGUGCAAGUGACCGAUCAUACUAUAUGUACACGAAGACUUCGAAUUAAUCAAUAAAGAGAUCUCAUUUUCACGAUGUCACAUCUUGUUUUACUAUAAUUUCCUAAAGGUCCAUGUAUAUUUACAAUCUUACAUACUUAUCUAAAAAUUGUAGUUGCUGAUCAAUUACACCAAUCGUCGACUAAAGAUAUGCAAAACAUUUGAGUGUAGGCAGUGGAUUUGUUAAGGCUUUAUCAAGCUGCUGCUUGAUAAUUAAUACACCCAAAGUUGACCUUUGGAAUGAUCCCAAACGAAAUAAUAACCUGUUAUCUGUGGCAAUAUAUAUAAAUAUUUUUUUUUCAAAGAAUGAAUUACGAGCUAACUGGUGCAACGAUUUAUCUGUAACUGUCACAUUAGGUUAGUUAUUACCACAUUAGGAUGUCACAAUUAUAAAGAAGCGAUUAUAUCUGUUGGGAUUCCAAUGUUAAGAUUCCUAACAUGUUGCUUAGAUAAAUAUAAUCUACGUACCUUAUAGCUGGUAAAAGUAGAGAAUAGCCAAUCGGAAUUUACAUCUUUGUACCUAGCCCAUGAAACUUGUAUGACACCACAAAUUGAAUUUCAUAAUCUAAGAACGUGAGAAGAAGUUAGCAUAAACGACGCCCUCUUGAAUUGUAGUUAGUUUAAGCAAGGACCUGGAAGUAUUUGUGAUGACAAUUGUAACGCCCAAAUUUCUCUUUUUUUUUUUUUUUUUAAUGGAAUUUUUAAAUGACAUUAUUGCCCUUAUAAAUAGAGAUUAUUUUGGGGUAAUUUUCGAAAAAGGGUUAUUUUCCCAAAUUCAAUAGGGUUUCUUAAGACUCUUUAUAAAUUCAUAUUUUUCCCCUUCUAUAAUCCUAAACCCACGACGUUUCUUCUUCUCUACUGCUCAUUACACUCUUACCCAAACCCUAAGAUUCAAACAUUUGUUUAGGAGAGAAUCAAAGCGAUUGGUAAGUUUACUCCCCUUAUUCCCCACAAGAUUUCCAAUCACUCUAUCUAGGGUUUAUAUUGGCAUGAUUUUAGAUUUUUAUAGAUCAUAAUGCAUGAUUUAGGAUGUGUUUAGGCUUUGCUUAGGGUUUUGAUUUAUUAUGAAUUUAGUUAAUCAAUCAUUGACGUAUUAAGCACACAGGAUAAUUCUGGACAGCAUGAGUAUCUCGAAUUUAAACCUAUAUUUUCUGAACGAGUCUUCUUAUGAAAUUUAUAUUUCUGAAACUAGACGUGUAGGGCUUCUUGAAUAAAUUUUAUUUCAUUAAAUUUGACUUCGUUUUCAAUUUUAUAUGUAUUUUCGAAUUAGAAACCACUACACUGGAAAACUGCGAUUCCAGAAUUGCGAUCGGAUUCACAAGAUUAUUCGUACCAACAAAUGAACUCGAAAACUUCUGAACUUUUAUAUGGAAGUUAAUAUAUGUGUUUAGUAUUCCCAGUUGUAAUUUCAUAAUUUUCUGAUCCGUAUUUUAUUUUAUAAAAAUCUCAGAACCCGUCCUGUUUGGUUUAGGUUAUGUGAAAACAGUUUCGAAUUUGUCGAGAAAUAAAUAGUUUUGAAAAUGUUUUUGAUAUCGGAUCCUCUUGAAAAUUUUACAUGGGGUACUAAUGGAUGUUCAGAUUAGUUCCAUAGAACAUUAUAUCAUUAUGACUUUUAGAUCAAGAGUUAAAAUUCUGAGAAUCAGACCUGUACGGAUAUGAAUUGGAAAAUCAUAUUCUUAGAAUAAGUUAUUGAUAGUCAUAUUUUGUAUUUGUUUAAGGUAUUGGAGGUGUUUAAGGCUCUUAGAGGCUUUGACGUGUGUAGUUCAAAUUCUUUUGUUGAGGUAAGUAAUUUCAUUCCUAAUGUACUGGAUAUAUGUAUGAUUAUUUUGAUAUUAUUAUAAGUGUUGAUGCCAAAUAAAAAAAUUAAUAUAAAAAUAAUUUUACUACCUGCUGUACCGUACAUCCGCCUUGGCCGUACAGCAGUUAAGGUAUUGGAGGUGUUUAAGGCUCUUAGAGGCUUUGACGUGUGUAGUUCAAAUUCUUUUGUUGAGGUAAGUAAUUUCAUUCCUAAUGUACUGGAUAUAUGUAUGAUUAUUUUGAUAUUAUUAUAAGUGUUGAUGCCAAAAAAUGACCUCAACAGCUGAAUUUGUUUAUGGUGGGAAAUUAGUACGAACCAAGCUUGAAUAUUGAUCUGAACUUCAAGUCUGCAACCUGAAAACCACAUAAAUCGGUCAGGACUCGCCGGUGGGGGUUCCGGCUAAAACCCUCCGAUGCUUAAGUUAGAUUAGGAGUAAAUUUAAUAGUUGACUGGAAGGGAAAUAACUCAAGUAAAAUAACACAAAAAAAAUAUGAAAAAACCAAAAUCCCUCCCCCUCUCCAUGGAAGAUUAAUUUUCUUUUUUCAUUCUCCUUAAAAGUCGCUCAUGUUCUCAACAUGGGUAGUUGGCUCACAUAGAAUAACUGAACCCAACAUAAGUCCCCUAGUUUUCAAGAUCAAGAACUUGUGAUUGGUCUUGGAAACUUAAGAAUAAUGAAAGAAAAAGAGAAAAAAAAAUGAACUUAACAAUAUCUCGAUCUUAAUAAAAUCAGGCGACGACCACGGUCUCAAUAAGAUCAAAUGACCUCGCUGCCAAUCUCAAUAAGAUUGGAUGACAACUUCAAUCUCAAUAAGGCCAAAAAUGACGACCUCGAUCUCAAUAAGAUCGAAUCAAAUAAUUUAUUCACAUUAGACUUCAAUAAGGCCAAGAUAGCGACCUCGAUUUCAAUAAGAUCGAAUCAUACAAUUUAUUCACGUUGGACCUCAACAAGGUAAAAAUACUCUCUUUAGAAUAAUCUCACAAAAUUGCAAAAGAGAAGAACUCUUAAGAAAACUUUCAAAUGCUUAUAAUAAAGCUUUGAUUGUUGAAUAAUAAAACUCAAAUACAAAUAAGGUAUUUAUAGGUUACAAGAAACAAUCUAAACCACUCAUUAAAAUAAUCACAAACUAAUUUAAACCAUUGAAAUUAAACAUGGGAAAAAUACCUAAUUUUCACCUAACUAAAUUGAUGUAAGCAAUGACAUCAAAUUAAUUUGGGUGUGGGCUUAUUUUUGGUUUGGAUUUUUUUUGCUUCAAAAGACUUGGGCUAUUUGGGCUAAUAUUGACUUCUCAACACUCCCCCUCAAUGUUAGCCCCCAUUCUUUGAAUCACGCCAAGCUGACGACGGAAAUGUUCAAACUUUCCAACACUCAAGCUUUUUGUAAACAAGUCCGCAAUUUGUUCAUCUGUCUUGACUUAUAGUAUAUGCCAUAACUUACGAGGACAACCACACGACAGGUUCAAUAAAUUCCAGAACUUUUAUCAACUAUCAUAAAAUUAAAGGUAGCUUCAUUUCAAGCAUUUAAUUUAAGUAAUAUCAGUAAAAUAUGCAAUCCCAGAAAAGUUAAUUGAGGAAUGGGGAUGCUUUAUAAACAAUGACAUCUCCAAUUCCAAAAACUUAUGCUUUAUAACCAAUUCUUAGAACUUUAGAUAGAGGCAAUUAUUGACAAAUAUCAUAAGUAGAUGUACCCUGUAAAUAGAUAAUUCACAAAAUAUUCAAACACUAUGUGACAUUGUCUCCCUCACCCUAACUGAUUCCAUUUGACUUUUCAAAAGUAUUCAAUAAGAAAUACCAUGAAAUUUGUAUAGCCUACAGACGUGAUAGUAGACAAUUGCAAUACUUUGGACAAAGCACACCCAAUUGAUAGUUGGAUAGAAUUUGGGCGCAACCUUGAAGUAAGCUUAACAAAAUUAAACUAAUAAAUCAUGGUUAGUGAAUUGGUAGAUAAUAAGCAUAUCACCAUGAAGUUCACUAUUUCCUCAUGGUAUUUUUUACCUUUGAAAAAUAUAAUUUUGCUUUAAAGAUCAAACUCGCUCCUAACAAAGAUUUAUAGCACAUUGUCCAAGGAUGAAUAGCAUUUGAUCAUGUUGUUGGUGCGUAUGAGACUAACAAAUUUACACAUGCAUUAUCACAAUGAAUAAAAACCGAAACUAGUAGGCAUUUCAAGCUUAAGUAGUAACUUGACUUUGAAAGAUAAUCUACGAAAUUAAGAAUUAGAACAAAUGCACAUGAUCAAAGGGCUUGUAGUAUUUGAUAUUUUUGAUAAGAAAAGUCAUUUCACCAACAACUCGUGAGCUUAGCUUUGCAUCCAAAACUUUACGGCAACACCUCGUAGUAUAAUUCAUGUUGUAACAUAACCCAAGAAAUAGCAGUAAAACUAGAAAGAAAUUUCAGCCUUGUUAAGAAAAUGCUUUAAAGUCAAACCAUAUAUAAACAAUAUGUUUUUCUAUCCUUAGUCGACUAUGAGGAUUUUGUGAUCGAAGACACGAUUAAAAUCAGCCAUGGCCAACACUUGGCCUUAACAAAUUUGUGCUAUUUCCUUUUCAUACUUCUAACAGUUUUCAACAGUUAUUGGAAAUUAUGCAAUGUGAACUAGAGCCAUCGUUUCAAGAAAACAAAUAUAGCGAAUAUCUAAUAUUUUCCCAUGCGAAAGUAGUAGUUGAGCAAAUAUAUAUAUAUAGCUCUUCAAAUAGUUUCAUGCUUAUAUUAAAUAAAUUGAAAUAGAACCUGGAUUUUAGUCCUUGGCUUAUGGCAGAGUUCUCUUAAGCAAACAAAUUUACAUAUUUAACUGCAAUAUAUAAUCGCUAUAUUGCCUAACACAAGUUCCAGACAUUCAGUUACUGUAUUGUUAAAGACAAUAUAAUUUCACGCAAUCAUCAAACACCACAUCUCGUGAUGUGUAGCACCUUCCAUUUACCGGAUCACAACACUUCCACCCUUUUCGCUGGUUGUUAGUAAGCAUAUACUAACUUGUAUAUGCAGUAACUUGCGAGGAUAACCACACGGCAUGUUCAACAAGCAAUUAUCAUAAAAUUAAAGGUGUCUUCAUUUCAUGCAUUUUUGGUAAUUACUGCUUUCUUAUCGAUCUUGCUACGUAGAUGGUCAGGAACAAAUACAUAGCAUACACAGCUGAAUACUCAUAAAAAGCUAUACAGCCAGAGUUUUACAAAAUUUUUAUCUUUUACCAAAUAUUUAUCAAUAAAUGACCAAUCAGUAUUUUAAUUUCAUGUCUCAAACCAAAAGGCAAACUUUAAGUGAAAAUAUUACCUGAGGAACUGAAGUUUAGUGGUUGAGGAAGCUUGUUGAUGACAUGAGCUGCAGUUCUCAUACCUUCAGCCCAAAAUCUUUAAGAAGAAAAAAAAAAAAAGAAAAAAUGUACAGGGAUUCCAAGCAUAUGUGUAGUUUCGAGUUUGUAUGGUGCCAGCCCAGUUUGACUUGGAAGCGAGAUAAAAAAUAAAUAAAUAAAUAAAAUAUAUCUAGCAGGAACAAGAUCAUUGAAGCUUUCACUCUUUAUUUAACCUAUUACUUCAUUUACUAACUUGUAGCAUAUAAAAAAAUGUAAGGUAUGUUGGAAAUAAUUAAUGUAAAAAUCUCUUGGUCAUAUACCAGUUUAUGAUUCUUGUAGGACCAUUGUUUUGCAAUUCUUGUUUUGCCACAACUACUUCCCUUUUUUAUGUUGCUAGGACAUCCUUAAUGUUGCUUUUUAGCUAUCUUCUGAUAUUGUUGUUGUGACCUUUAGAAAUCAUCUUACUCAAUUAUUUUAAAUAAAGUCACGGAACAAUUCUUACACCAUGAGAUAUUUUAUCAAUCACCUCUUGCGCCAAAGCCACAACUACAAGACUGGAUUGGUUAGUACAUAGCAAGAUGCUAAGCUUUUGAACCUAGUGAGUAAUGCCAAACCACUCCAAAUAGGGUCCAAUCAAAUUAACCCAUUAAUUCAUUGCUAUUAAUCUUAUCAGUUAUUUGAUUUCUCCUCAAUUCUCAGCUAUUUCUCAAUCAAAUAAAAUAAUUUUUCCUAAUUAGCAUUUGUUUGAAAAGAAAUUGCACAAGUAGUUCAAUCACCUCAGAAUCAAGAAACACCAUCAUAAUCAACAAAUAAUAAAACAAUUAUUAAUCUGUAAUUCACGCCCCUUAGUUUCGGUUAUACUAAAUAAUUAAAUUGAAACCGAACUCCGUGAGAGCUAAUUCUUCUUCCUCCAUAGCGAGUAAUGCUUUAGCAUCCCAGCUAUCUUCACUAUCUUCUUUAGAACUAGAAGUAACAAUAUUGCUUUCGGUAGACUUCUUUUUGGACCAACAAUCUCUCUUCAUGUGGCCCUUCUUCCCGCAAUUGUAACAUUCACCAUCGAACUUUCUAUUACUGUCGCGAUUCUUCGAAGCUCCCCCUAGACGAGAGCCAUUCCCUCCCUGAUGACUUUUUGUCUGUUCACUCGUGAGAGCUAAUUCUUCUUCCUCCAUAGCGAGUAAUGCUUCAGCAUCCCAGCAAUCUUCACUAUCUUCUUUAGAACUAGAAGUAACAAUAUUGCUUUCGGUAGACUUCUUUUGGACCAACAAUCUCUCUUCAUGUGGCCCUUCUUCCCGCAAUUGUAACAUUCAACAAUGAACUUUCUAUUACUGUCGCGAUUCUUCGAAGCUCCCCCUAGACGAGAGUCAUUCCCUCCCUGAUGACUUUUUGUCUGUUCACUAGUCUUUCUAGAUCCGCCUUUGUUGUGCUGUCUUAAACCACCUCUGCUUUGGUUGGUGUAAAGCGCUUCUUCUUCACCCUUUAGUGAGACUCCUCCAAAGUAUUGGGCAAUCGCCAUGUCGCGUUGCGCCAUUGAUAGAAGUUCAUUCUCGAGAAGUUGCAAUUUUGUAUCGUUCCUCUUCGAAAAGAGUGUAGCGAAGGUGUCCCACGCUUCCUUCGGUGAUUUAGCAUCCCGAAUGUGCUCCAACAUUUCUUCUUCUAUUGUGGUCUUUAAAGCAAACAUUGCUUUGCCUGCUUUAAUUUUCCACUUCCGCAAGACGCCGUUAGCAUCUUCCGCUGCCGGUUGUGUAACUUCACUACCACCGACAACCUCCCACAAGUCUUGACCUUGAAGGUAAGACUCUAUACACGUUGCCCACGUGUUAUAGUUUUGGUUGUUGAGCUUCUUGAUUCCUCCAACAACUUGAAGAUCACCCAUCGUAUCGACAAGACUUUUACUACACCGAACAAGCUUGAGUGACUACCGUGCAGAGUAAUACACUACUCUUGACACAAAGAAGCUCCCUCUCAAGGUUUGUGAUAACCCCAGCAAUAAUCUCAGGAAACCUUUUCUGAUGUGGAAGAUCAGUCAAAACUGCAACCACAGAGCAUACUCGGAAUUUCAAGAGACUUUACAACCAAUGCUCUGAUACCAAAUGUUGAAUCAAAAUAGAGUAAAAAACUCUAAUUGAUCAAGAAGAAGAAAAACUCUCUUUAGAAUAAUCUCACAAAAUUGCAAAAGAGAAGAACUCUUAAGAAAACUUUCAAAUGCUUAUAAUAAAGCUUUGAUUGUUGAAUAAUAAAACUCAAAUACAAAUAAGGUAUUUAUAGGUUACAAGAAACAAUCUAAACCACUCAUUAAAAUAAUCACAAACUAAUUUAAACCAUUGAAAUUAAACAUGGGAAAAAUACCUAAUUUUCACCUAACUAAAUUGAUGUAAGCAAUGACAUCAAAUUAAUUUGGGUGUGGGCUUAUUUUUGGUUUGGAUUUUUUUUGCUUCAAAAGACUUGGGCUAUUUGGGCUAAUAUUGACUUCUCAACAAAACUAACUAGUAUAUGCCAUAACUUACGAGGACAACCACAUGACAGGUUCAAUAAAUUCCAGAACUUUUAUCAACUAUCAUAAAAUUAAAGGUAGCUUCAUUUCAAGCAUUUAAUUUAAGUAAUAUCAGUAAAAUAUGCAAUCCCAGAAAAGUUAAUUGAGGAAUGGGGAUGCUUUAUAAACAAUGACAUCUCCAAUUCCAAAAACUUAUGCUUUAUAACCAAUUCUUAGAACUUUAGAUAGAGGCAAUUAUUGACAAAUAUCAUAAGUAGAUGUACCCUGUAAAUAGAUAAUUCACAAAAUAUUCAAACACUAUGUGACAUUGUCUCCCUCACCCUAACUGAUUCCAUUUGACUUUUCAAAAGUAUUCGAUAAGAAAUACCAUGAAAUUUGUAUAGCCUACAGACGUGAUAGUAGACAAUUGCAAUACUUUGGACAAAGCACACCCAAUUGAUAGUUGGAUAGAAUUUGGGCGCAACCUUGAAGUAAGCUUAACAAAAUUAAACUAAUAAAUCAUGGUUAGUGAAUUGGUAGAUAAUAAGCAUAUCACCAUGAAGUUCACUAUUUCCUCAUGGUAUUUUUUACCUGUGAAAAAUAUAAUUUUGCUUUAAAGAUCAAACUCGCUCCUAACAAAGAUUUAUAGCACAUUGUCCAAGGAUGAAUAGCAUUUGAUCAUGUUGUUGGUGCGUAUGAGACUAACAAAUUUACACAUGCAUUAUCACAAUGAAUAAAAACUGAAACUAGUAGGCAUUUCAAGCUUAAGUAGUAACUUGACUUUGAAGGAUAAUCUACGAAAUUAAGAAUUAGAACAAAUGCACAUGAUCAAGGGGCUUGUAGUAUUUGAUAUUUUUUAUAAGAAAAGUCAUUUCACCAACAACUCGUGAGCUUAGCUUUGCAUCCAAAACUUUACGGCAACACCUCGUAGUAAAAUUCAUGUUGUAACAUAACCCAAGAAAUAUCAGUAAAACUAGAAAGAAAUUUCAGCCUUGUUAAGAAAAUGCUUUAAAGUCAAACCAUAUAUAAACAAUAUGUUUUUCUAUCCUUAGUCGACUAUGAGGAUUUUGUGAUCGAAGACACGAUUAAAAUCAGCCAUGGCCAACACUUGGCCUUAACAAAUUUGUGCUAUUUCCUUUUCAUACUUCUAACAGUUUUCAACAGUUAUUGGAAAUUAUGCAAUGUGAACUAGAGCCAUCGUUUCAAGAAAACAAAUAUAGCUAAUAUUUAAUAUUUUCCCAUGCGAAAGUAGUAGUUGAGCAAAUAUAUAUAUAUAGCUCUUCAAAUAGUUUCAUGCUUAUAUUAAAUAAAUUGAAAUAGAACCUGGAUUUUAGUCCUUGGCUUAUGGCAGAGUUCUCUUAAGCAAACAAAUUUACAUAUUUAACUGCAAUAUAUAAUCGCUAUAUUGCCUAACACAAGUUCCAGACAUUCAGUUACUGUAUUGUUAAAGACAAUAUAAUUUCACGCAAUUAGGAUUUGGAUUAGUAGCCUAAAUCGGUUCUUUAAAAUGGCCAUCUUUCAGAUAUCAUGUUGAGCCUUUUGUUAAUACAGCUCUGAUGCAAAAACAAUAUUGAUAAAAAUUGCAGAGCUAGAGUUUACCCAUUUUUAUCAAAACAAGGAAAAUAAAUUGACCAACCAAUAUUAUAAAUUAGUCUAGUAGAGAUUUCAAAACAACUAACCAAUAGCCUUUAAGUGAAAAUAUAAUCGAUGGAGUUAAAAUCUAGAACAAAUGCACCUGAGAUGGUACUUUGUUGUCUAUUAACUCCUCUCAGCUAUUUCAUCAACAUGUAGUAAGCAUAUACUAACUUGUAUAUGCAGUAACUUGCGAGGAUAACCACACGGCAUGUUCAACAAGCAAUUAUCAUAAAAUUAAAGGUAGCUUCAUUUCAUGCAUUUUUGGUAAUAUCAGUGUUGCAAACAUAAAUCAGUUCUAAAAAAUAGUUAUACUCUCAAAGAUAUCAUACUAGACCUUUUGUGACUAUAGCUCUUACAAUUUACAUGCAAAAUUAAGAUUGAUAAAAAGCUAUACAGCCAGAGUUUUACAAAAAUUUUAUCUUUUACCAANNNNNNNNNNNNNNNNNNNNNNNNNNNNNNNNNNNNNNNNNNNNNNNNNNNNNNNNNNNNNNNNNNNNNNNNNNNNNNNNNNNNNNNNNNNNNNNNNNNNNNNNNNNNNNNNNNNNNNNNNNNNNNNNNNNNNNNNNNNNNNNNNNNNNNNNNNNNNNNNNNNNNNNNNNNNNNNNNNNNNNNNNNNNNNNNNNNNNNNNNNNNNNNNNNNNNNNNNNNNNNNNNNNNNNNNNNNNNNNNNNNNNNNNNNNNNNNNNNNNNNNNNNNNNNNNNNNNNNNNNNNNNNNNNNNNNNNNNNNNNNNNNNNNNNNNNNNNNNNNNNNNNNNNNNNNNNNNNNNNNNNNNNNNNNNNNNNNNNNNNNNNNNNNNNNNNNNNNNNNNNNNNNNNNNNNNNNNNNNNNNNNNNNNNNNNNNNNNNNNNNNNNNNNNNNNNNNNNNNNNNNNNNNNNNNNNNNNNNNNNNNNNNNNNNNNNNNNNNNNNNNNNNNNNNNNNNNNNNNNNNNNNNNNNNNNNNNNNNNNNNNNNNNNNNNNNNNNNNNNNNNNNNNNNNNNNNNNNNNNNNNNNNNNNNNNNNNNNNNNNNNNNNNNNNNNNNNNNNNNNNNNNNNNNNNNNNNNNNNNNNNNNNNNNNNNNNNNNNNNNNNNNNNNNNNNNNNNNNNNNNNNNNNNNNNNNNNNNNNNNNNNNNNNNNNNNNNNNNNNNNNNNNNNNNNNNNNNNNNNNNNNNNNNNNNNNNNNNNNNNNNNNNNNNNNNNNNNNNNNNNNNNNNNNNNNNNNNNNNNNNNNNNNNNNNNNNNNNNNNNNNNNNNNNNNNNNNNNNNNNNNNNNNNNNNNNNNNNNNNNNNNNNNNNNNNNNNNNNNNNNNNNNNNNNNNNNNNNNNNNNNNNNNNNNNNNNNNNNNNNNNNNNNNNNNNNNNNNNNNNNNNNNNNNNNNNNNNNNNNNNNNNNNNNNNNNNNNNNNNNNNNNNNNNNNNNNNNNNNNNNNNNNNNNNNNNNNNNNNNNNNNNNNNNNNNNNNNNNNNNNNNNNNNNNNNNNNNNNNNNNNNNNNNNNNNNNNNNNNNNNNNNNNNNNNNNNNNNNNNNNNNNNNNNNNNNNNNNNNNNNNNNNNNNNNNNNNNNNNNNNNNNNNNNNNNNNNNNNNNNNNNNNNNNNNNNNNNNNNNNNNNNNNNNNNNNNNNNNNNNNNNNNNNNNNNNNNNNNNNNNNNNNNNNNNNNNNNNNNNNNNNNNNNNNNNNNNNNNNNNNNNNNNNNNNNNNNNNNNNNNNNNNNNNNNNNNNNNNNNNNNNNNNNNNNNNNNNNNNNNNNNNNNNNNNNNNNNNNNNNNNNNNNNNNNNNNNNNNNNNNNNNNNNNNNNNNNNNNNNNNNNNNNNNNNNNNNNNNNNNNNNNNNNNNNNNNNNNNNNNNNNNNNNNNNNNNNNNNNNNNNNNNNNNNNNNNNNNNNNNNNNNNNNNNNNNNNNNNNNNNNNNNNNNNNNNNNNNNNNNNNNNNNNNNNNNNNNNNNNNNNNNNNNNNNNNNNNNNNNNNNNNNNNNNNNNNNNNNNNNNNNNNNNNNNNNNNNNNNNNNNNNNNNNNNNNNNNNNNNNNNNNNNNNNNNNNNNNNNNNNNNNNNNNNNNNNNNNNNNNNNNNNNNNNNNNNNNNNNNNNNNNNNNNNNNNNNNNNNNNNNNNNNNNNNNNNNNNNNNNNNNNNNNNNNNNNNNNNNNNNNNNNNNNNNNNNNNNNNNNNNNNNNNNNNNNNNNNNNNNNNNNNNNNNNNNNNNNNNNNNNNNNNNNNNNNNNNNNNNNNNNNNNNNNNNNNNNNNNNNNNNNNNNNNNNNNNNNNNNNNNNNNNNAAAAAAAUGUAAGGUAUGUUGGAAAUAAUUAAUGUAAAAAUCUCUUGGUCAUAUACCAGUUUAUGAUUCUUGUAGGACCAUUGUUUUGCAAUUCUUGUUUUGCCACAACUACUUCCCUUUUUUAUGUUGCUAGGACAUCCUUAAUGUUGCUUUUUAGCUAUCUUCUGAUAUUGUUGUUGUGACCUUUAGAAAUCAUCUUACUCAAUUAUUUUAAAUAAAGUCACGGAACAAUUCUUACACCAUGAGAUAUUUUAUCAAUCACCUCUUGCGCCAAAGCCACAACUACAAGACUGGAUUGGUUAGUACAUAGCAAGAUGCUAAGCUUUUGAACCUAGUGAGUAAUGCCAAACCACUCCAAAUAGGGUCCAAUCAAAUUAACCCAUUAAUUCAUUGCUAUUAAUCUUAUCAGUUAUUUGAUUUCUCCUCAAUUCUCAGCUAUUUCUCAAUCAAAUAAAAUAAUUUUUCCUAAUUAGCAUUUGUUUGAAAAGAAAUUGCACAAGUAGUUCAAUCACCUCAGAAUCAAGAAACACCAUCAUAAUCAACAAAUAAUAAAACAAUUAUUAAUUUGUAAUUCACGCCCCUUAGUUUCGGUUAUACUAAAUAAUUAAAUUGAAACCGAACCUGAUUCUCACCUCUGAGAAGUGUUCUUUCGAGCUGUACUUGCCAACAACAAUUUGUUAUACUGCCCUCCUAUUUCCCAUCCAAUGAAUCUCAUCACUUUGAAUCUCAUCAUUUUCUUAUGGCUUUUCGUACCGUUCCCCACAGACGGCGCCAAGAUGUUGAUGCCAAAAAAUGACCUCAACAGCUGAAUUUGUUUAUGGUGGGAAAUUAGUAUGAACCAAGCUUGAAUAUUGAUCUGAACUUCAAGUCUGCAACCUGAAAAUCACAGAAAUCGGUCAGGACUCGCCGAUGGGGGUUCCGGCUAGAAUCCUCCGAUGCUUAAGUUAGAUUAGGAGUAAAUUUAAUAGUUGACUGGAAGGGAAAUAACUCAAGCAAAAUAACACAAAAAAAGAUGAAAAAACCGAAAUCCCUCCCCCUCUCCAUGGAAGAUUAAUUUUCUUUUUUCAUUCUCCUUAAAAGUCGCUCAUGUUCUCAACAUGGUUAGUUGGCUCACAUAGAAUAACUGAACCCAACAAUAAGUAUAAAUGUUUUUAUACUACUUAAAGGAUUAAUUGAUUUUGAUAACAAAAUUAGUUUUAUGAAAAUGUUUUCAAACCUAAAUUCUUUUGAACAAAGCAUUUUAUAAAUACUUUUUAAAUAUGUAAGUUAUUUUGUUACAUGCCUACUUUUAUGAUUUUAUUUAAAAAAUAUUUUGCAAGCUUGAAUUAUUGUUAUGAACUUUUCUAAAUCUGAUACGAAUGUUUUGUACCCAUGUAUGAUUUCAAUUAUUGAUGAUUGUAUGGGAUUCCUAAUGUUUUGGCUCAUUGUCCAUAGUUAUUCUGAUUCUGAUUCUGAUCGUAAUAUACGAUAUAUAUGUCUGGACCAAUACUGAGUUUCUGUUCUGAGUGUGCACACGAUAUUCUGAUUCUGUUUCUGGCCGGGUCACCGGGACUAUAGAUGACACUAUGUGACAUGAGCUAACCUUUUGUUUUCUGUAUAUGUAUUAUAUGAUUUGCUUCGUAAGUAAAUAUGCUUUUGGAUAUUCUGAAUUAUUAAGAAUUUAUGUUAUGUUAUCGUAAUAUAUCGUUUUAUGAAAUUUAUGGAUUAUGAUAUAUGUUUUAAACAAAAGAAGGCUUACAAUAUUUUUAGUAUCGAUAAGCCUAGUGUGUUAGGAAUGGUUUUACUUACCGAGUUGACGGCUCACCCCUCAUCAUUACUUUUUGUAGAUUAAGUUUCUUUUGAGAGGUGCACUUAGCUUUGGAGUUAGUAAUUUUUCGUUUCCGUUUGCCAUUUGAAUAAGAAGAGGAAUAGACUCGUGUUUCUAUUCAGUUUAUUUCCGUUAUGAACUUGUAAUUUAGAGUUUGAGACUUUUGUUAUUGUUAUGUUUUGGGCGAGAUUAUUUAGUGCUAGACGUUUGAAUUUGUGGAUUUAUUUAAAUAAGAAUUUGAGGUAUUUCAGUUCGGAACUUAUGAGUAAAGAUUAUGAUUUGUGAGUAACUUCCUUCUUCACGUGCUCCGCACGUGUUAGAUUUGGGGUGUUACAACAAUACCAGCAACGAUUUAUAUGAAUUUUUUAAAUUCAUAUAACCCAUCUGCAUCCAACUAAAAUUUUGCUUAGGAGGGAACUAAAUCCCAAGGGAAUUAGAGAGGCAAUCAAAACUUUUGCAUUAAACAAUGAAAAACAGUGGAGUAGAAGAAUAAGACAUUUCUGAAAAUUUUAACUCUUCUACGACAUAUCUAGAUGAUUUACAUCAAGAAAUUCUACAAAAUAUGCUCUGUUCCCUCACCUACAAGAAACAAUUACAAACAGAUAUCGACUCCCAACAGACAAAAAUGGAGCCAACAUAAAUGAUAAUAUAAUUAAUAAACCUUAAAAAUAACUACAAAACAAACCUCAUGUCUCUCAAUACACGAGAAAAUUUCAUAUAAAGCACUCUACUCAGCAAUCCUUUCAAACUUCAUUCUACCUUCAUCGAAGAUUGUCAUGUGCUUCCUCUUCUUAGAAAACUUAAUUGAAUUUUGAAACCCAUUUACCUCAUCGGUAAACUGAGCUGCAGUUCGAGCCCGCAAUUCUUCCAGACUCUCCCCUUCCUUUGCUCUCUCCAGCACCUGAAAUGUGGUGGCAAUUAUAGCUAUUAUCUGAUCAUGUGCAACGGAGAAUAUCUAUGAGAACUGGUAGACGGCUUACCAGAUGCCGACCAUAGAGAUGGGUAUUUGAAAGUGCUUCAAGUGCAUUUUGCCCCUCUUGCUUUGUUACAUACUCAACGAAUGCAAACCCCCUCUGAUAUUUCCAAACUUCAUUGGCAGCCUUGAGCUCUUAAUCUACAAAAAGAAAAUAUGAAAACAUAGAGUCAACACGAGAAAAAGCAUGUGCAGCAAGUUCAGAUUUAAGUCUUUCGGCAUCGCUGAAAUGAAUUUAAAGGCAGGUAAUACAUGAGAAGGGAUUAUACCUGUGCAUUAACAAUCUUGCAACAAAUUUAGAUAUUUAAUUGAAAACUUCCUAACGGAAUUCGAUUAUGCACUGCUUCUAUCAUCCUACAUAUAACAUUUAUUUUUGUCUUGUUAUCUGGUUAAUCAAACAAUAGUUUAAUAUUGAUGUAAUAUAGCAAUAACUCUUUCCAACUUGUCUUAAAUUCCGUAGUACUGUUCCUUCCUCUAUUUACUAUGCAUUUUUAAUAAAAUGCAUCAUUACUCAUCAAAAUAAAAUAAGCACCUGGCCAAAUGGUCUUCCAUUAUUUUCCAUUACUAUUGUUUUGCUAGUUACUUUUUUUUUUUUGACAAGAUCCUCCUACUGUAACCUGUUCUCAUUGUGGUUGUAUUGAUGGUUUAAAGAUUAUUUGAUUGUUAAAGUUUUAUCGUAAUUUAGUGAUCUGAAUUUUAUUACUAGAUUUGCAAAGAUAAAGAUGAAGCUGAGGUAUGGUUUAGUGGAUUAAAAGCAUUACUUUCACGUAGUCAUCAUCGAAAGUGGAGAACAGAAUCAAUGAGUGAUGGAAUUCCAUCAGAAGCAAAUAGUCCUAGAACAUACACUCGGAGAAGCCCUCCUUUGAAUACUCCAUUCGGUAGCAAUGAUAGCUUGCAGAAGGAGUAAUGAUUUAAAUAAUAUUUCUUUUUCCUUCAGUAAGACUGUAUUAUUGAAUGAUUCGUGUUUCGAUCAUACAAGAAGUUCUGCUAAGCUUCUGUUCAUGGGUCGAGAGUUGUAUCACAAGCAACAUCGUCAAUAUCAAGACGGCCCAGCCCACCUCGUUCAACAACACCGAUAACGAUAGCCUUAGCCAAGAUGUUAUUAAAUUAAGAGCACAGGUAUUUCCUAUUCUCUAGUUAGCGAUUACUUGAGUGAACUUUCUAAAAUUCUUGCACUAUGCAUUAAUAAUAGCUUGAGCAAAUAGAUGCUUUACAUGGUUAUCUGCUUGAUUAUUUAAAUUAAAUUUUAAUAGUAGUUUCAGAGCCAAAUUUCAUUAGCUAAGUAUACGUAGCAAUGCUCCUUAGUAUCCAGAAUUCAAGGAUCAUAGCCAUAUUUAAUGAGAUAUAACUCAACGCAAAGUUUGUCGAAAAUCCACAUGACGACCAAUGGAAAUAAGCAAAACGAAAAUAAAGCUCACAUGCAGUCAUUCCUUUCCAUUCAUUGCCUAUGGCAUUGCAAACUUAAUAGUUUCGGAAUUCAAUCUGUUUGACCUUCAUGAAAAUUGAAGGGCUAGAAGUUUGUGUAGAGAUCUUCUUUUCCCCUUCAAAUUUAUUAGUCCAAUUUCAACCCUUCAGGCACCUUUCUGGGUUUUAGAAGCCGCUACCUCAAGAAAAUGAUGAAUAGAUGGAAUCCAGACCUCAAGAUCCAAUCAGGUUUUAUUUAAUGCCUUAGAAUAUUGUUAUUUGCAUUUUGCAGCUAGUUAUUGAGCGUUAUAUCUAAGGCAGGCAGGCAGGUAAGUAAAAUCUUUAAAUUUUUUUUUCGAUAGCCAUAUUAAACUUUUCCUAUUUCUGUUUUGGCAGAAUGCUGAUUCCUCUCUAUCUCUCGCAGGUGGAGAAUCUUACUCGGAAAGCUCAACUUCAAGAAGUUGAGCUUGAAAGGACAACUAAACAGUUGAAGAAGGCAAUAGCAAUUGCAGGGGAAGAGACUGCAAAAUGCAGAGCAGCAAAGGAAGUGAAUAAGUCAUGACUUCCCAAGCAAGGCAGCUUUCUUUCUUCAUUAGUAUUAUGUCUCGUGGAAUUAUUUGUAAGUGGCUUCAAAAUAAGGAUCUAAUUAGCUCCUUUAUUCUGUUCUAAAUUCAUUUGCAAAAAGGUAUCUGCAGACCAUCUUGUUUGAUUCUAGAUGAUGAUUGGAUUCAUUAGUUUUACUGACUGUGCUUACACUUUAAUCACACUUUAUAUUGAUGAUGCCUUUAUUUUUCUUGUUGAAUAGUUGAAGGAUAUGGCUGAGAGACUGCCAGUUGGAACAGCACGGAAUAUCAAAUCACCGACAUUUACUUCCUUCAGUUCCAGUCCUGCUUCCAUAGGUGUGUCGAAUGCUUCAAUUGACCGCUAGGUGGUCAAACAGCAGCUCAAGAACCGGACACAGAUGGAUCAAACAACAUUUUGCUUGCUAAUGGGUCCAGCACUGCCAGUAAUCGUAGCUUCCAAACAAGGCCAGUUGGAAGCGACAGCUAGAAAUGGGAGCAGAACGAAAGAAUGUGAAUCACGAAUGACAAUGAAUGGGUUGAGCAAGAGGAGCCUGGUGUAUAUAUAACAUUUAACUCACCACCAGGAGGUCUCAGGGAUCUUAAAAGAGUUCGCUUCAGGUACGAUGUCUGACGUCCAGUUCUGUUAUUGUUCCUCUAUAAGCCUUUGUAUAUGUAGAUCAGGUUCUGAACCUACAACAACCAGCGACAAGAAAUGGCUUAGGUCCCAUUUAGUAUUUUUUGCGCCUUUUCCUUUAUUUUUAACCUUAAAAUAAUGGGCUCUCAAUUAUGAAAACUAGUACAGCAUAAAUGCUGAAUAACAACUUAAUUUAUCGACAAUGAGUUUAAAAUAAAUUCUAUGAUGAUGAUGAUGAUGAUGAUGAUGAUGAUGAUGAUUAUUAUUAUUAUUAAUAUUAGGGGUGUUUGCGGAUCUGAUUUUGCGGAUUGGGUAUCAAUCCAUAUCCGAUCCACAAUUUUGCUGAUUAUAAAUUUUUAAUCCAAUCUAAUCCACGGAUUGAUAAAAUUUAUUUCAAAUCCAAUCUAUACGUCUGCAGAUCGGAUGCAGAUUUGACUCAAUCCACAUCUGAUCCACCAUUUUGCGAAUUGGUUUGUGGGCUAAAUUUUAUAAUCAUGUCCUAUCCACAAACUAACUAAAUAAAAAAAUUAAUAUAAAAAUAAUUUUACUACCGAUCAAAUUCAAAAUUAAAUAAGAUUUAAAUAAGUUAAUUAUUUAAAUAAAGGUAGAAAAUACAUUCAAAGUUUCGAAAUAUAACAUACCAAAAAGAAAAAAUUCUCAUUUGUAUAGAUUAGUACAUGAAAAUUAACUGCUUAGGAAGCUAUAUUUUUAUUUAAUUAUUUUUAUUUUAUAUAUUAUCAAAUAAGACAUAAUAUGGUGUUAAUAUAACUAUAUUUUAACUUAUUUAUUUAUUAGUAAGUAUAAUGCCAUAUUUACAAGUUCAAUUUUUUUAUAAAAUAAAUAUUUUUAUUUUUUUCAGAUUCGUAAAUUUUUACGGAUUCACAAAAGUAAAUCCAUAUCCAAUCCACCGAUUGUGGAUUUUCAAAUUUUUAAUCCAAUCCAAUUCACGGAUCGGAUUUUUAUGGAUCGCAUUUCUAUAGAUCAGACAAAUUGAACGGAUCGGAUUAGAUUCUAAACACCCCUAAUUAUUAUUAUUAUUAUUAUUAUUAUUAUUAACAAUAUUCCAAUUUUAAGACAAAAAUAAGUACAUUGAUGACAAUCCAAGUCAUUUCGAUUUUGAUUCCUACUGGUUUAUUUUUAUUCUCAUUCCUCAUUUAGAUUCCAACCUAUUCUAGUUGGCAAUUAGUAAAUGCACCAUAAUAGUGAAAUGUAUAUUUAAAUUUCUGUUCCUUUUUUAGUUUUUGCUUGUAUACUUUAACUACCAAAUUUCAUUAGGUUAUUACAUUGAUGUUUACUAAGGUCUGUUUAGACACAUGGAAUUUCUAAUUUCAUUUUGAACUAAGAUUUUCUACUCAUCUUAGCUUUCAGAAUAAUAAUAUGCUUAUAAAGUUGGAAUACAAAGUUUGCAUUCUAGAUGAUGUAAAACUUAACAUGUCAUUUAUUCAUUAGUGCUGCAAAUACCAAAUACAUGAUGGUCAACUGUUGGUAACACGUUAUUUAAUAUACAAACUUCAAGUAUAUCAUUAUUAUGAAAAUAUAUAUUUGAAUCAUAAAUGACUAAUAACGUAUACGUGGCAUAUUAAAAAGUUAAGGUAAUGGGUACAUUAUUUAGUUUUAGACAUAACUUGAGAGGACGCAUAACUUGCAUUAUUGGUUUAUAAUCAAAAUAAGCUACUACGUAAACUGAGGAGAUAUAUCCCUUAAAGCUUGCUGAAAAUCUGAGUCUGGUUAAUGUUGCAUAAAUCCUUCACAGAUCCUUGAAUCAUCAACCCCUUUAGCUCUUCUUGAAGCCUUUCCAUAGCUGACUGCGGCAAGCAUAUUGGUACAAGAAUUCCAGGCUCUCCAUUCUUGUUUUGGUACUUUGUAAAGAAGCUGAUCACUGCUACAGCGCCAGCAGUUCCAGCAUAAAUUGGUUUCCCCCACCCAAAAUCAACAUCUCCUAGUCCAACAUUCCUUAGAUCCGAAACAAUGAAAUUUCCCCUAGUCGAGAACUUGAUUCGUCGCCCUUUGAUCACCAUAAGAUCCGCCGCAGACCUUAUAUACUCUUCGUUCAUUUGAGCCUUCGCCUUUUUCACCAAUUCAACGGCGUAUCCUAUUGGAUUCUUACACAAUUGUUCAGCUUUUGAACAUACAGCCGAAAAUGUAAAUGCAUUGCCACAAUAGCCUGGAGGAAUAUCCAUUUCAUAACUUUUUCCUCGUACGUUAACGAUACAACAAACUUUAGCAAUCUCUUCAGGUUGUAGCUUGAGUGCAAUUGUUCGACAUUUCCAUAGAAACGCUAAUAAUAGCUCAAACGUUGAGCAAUCUUUAAGGUGAAAAGGAAGCUGAUUUCUCAGAGCUUUGAUCCCUUUGAGGCUAAAGAAGAACGAUUUGUGAGCCAUGUUGUCACUUGGAACCUCAUUGGUGUUUAUUUCAUCGUACUCAUGGUGGAUACAUGUUACUUGUGGGGGAUUUCUGGCA